RNAcentral lists this ribosomal RNA (301 nucleotides) under uncultured bacterium. Its description in RNAcentral is "partial 16S ribosomal RNA". It matches the Rfam family "Bacterial small subunit ribosomal RNA", at positions 509 to 807 of the family's 1533-position model. The record is from RNAcentral.
CAGCAGCCACGGUAAUACGUAGGUGGCAAGCGUUGUCCGGAAUUAUUGGGCGUAAAGGGCUCGCAGGCGGUUUCUUAAGUCUGACGUGAAAGCCCCCGGCUCAACCGGGGAGGGUCAUUGGAAACUGGGAAACUUGAGUGCAGAAGAGGAGAGUGGAAUUCCACGUGUAGCGGUGAAAUGCGUAGAGAUGUGGAGGAACACCAGUGGCGAAGGCGACUCUCUGGUCUGUAACUGACGCUGAGGAGCGAAAGCGUGGGGAGCGAACAGGAUUAGAGACCCGUGUAGUCCCUGUCUCUUAUAC